Molecule: ribosomal RNA, 1031 nt
Filed under: human gut metagenome
Description: bacterial SSU rRNA
Rfam family: Bacterial small subunit ribosomal RNA
Source: RNAcentral
AGAGUUUGAUCCUGGCUCAGGAUGAACGCUAGCGACAGGCUUAACACAUGCAAGUCGAGGGGCAGCAUGAUUUGUAGCAAUACAGAUUGAUGGCGACCGGCGCACGGGUGAGUAACGCGUAUGCAACUUACCUAUCAGAGGGGGAUAGCCCGGCGAAAGUCGGAUUAAUACCCCAUAAAACAGGGGUCCCGCAUGGGAAUAUUUGUUAAAGAUUCAUCGCUGAUAGAUAGGCAUGCGUUCCAUUAGGCAGUUGGCGGGGUAACGGCCCACCAAACCGACGAUGGAUAGGGGUUCUGAGAGGAAGGUCCCCCACAUUGGUACUGAGACACGGACCAAACUCCUACGGGAGGCAGCAGUGAGGAAUAUUGGUCAAUGGCCGAGAGGCUGAACCAGCCAAGUCGCGUGAAGGAAGAAGGAUCUAUGGUUUGUAAACUUCUUUUAUAGGGGAAUAAAGUGGAGGACGUGUCCUUUUUUGUAUGUACCCUAUGAAUAAGCAUCGGCUAACUCCGUGCCAGCAGCCGCGGUAAUACGGAGGAUGCGAGCGUUAUCCGGAUUUAUUGGGUUUAAAGGGUGCGUAGGUGGUGAUUUAAGUCAGCGGUGAAAGUUUGUGGCUCAACCAUAAAAUUGCCGUUGAAACUGGGUUACUUGAGUGUGUUUGAGGUAGGCGGAAUGCGUGGUGUAGCGGUGAAAUGCAUAGAUAUCACGCAGAACUCCGAUUGCGAAGGCAGCUUACUAAACCAUAACUGACACUGAAGCACGAAAGCGUGGGGAUCAAACAGGAUUAGAUACCCUGGUAGUCCACGCAGUAAACGAUGAUUACUAGGAGUUUGCGAUACAAUGUAAGCUCUACAGCGAAAGCGUUAAGUAAUCCACCUGGGGAGUACGCCGGCAACGGUGAAACUCAAAGGAAUUGACGGGGGCCCGCACAAGCGGAGGAACAUGUGGUUUAAUUCGAUGAUACGCGAGGAACCUUACCCGGGUUUGAACGUAGUCUGACCGGAGUGGAAACACUCUUUCUAGCAAUAGCAGAU